This 354-nucleotide unclassified non-coding RNA is filed under the name Hevea brasiliensis (rubber tree). Lineage: Eukaryota; Viridiplantae; Streptophyta; Magnoliopsida; Malpighiales; Euphorbiaceae. The record is from RNAcentral.
AUUAUUAUUAUUAUUAUUAUUAGUCUAGAGAUUUCUCAAAGGUACUAAGAUAUUGGCUUCAUCACUUUGUGUCAUGGGCUCUCAUAAAUUUGAGUUAAUGGGCUGAGUAUUACAAAAACACCAAGAUUUGAAGAAGAACACAUAACCAGGAAAAUGCUAGUUUCAACAAUUGGACACCAAGAAUUGAAACAAAAGCACAUGGACAGGAAAAUGCUAGUUUCAACAAUUGGACACCAAGAAUUGAAACAAAAGCACAUGGACAGGAAAAUGCUAGUUUCAACAAUUGGACAGAUAGUCCCCUUCUAAUUCCUGGCUUGUAGUUGCUCCAAAAGCUAAUAGAACAAUUGCCAUCCA